RNAcentral lists this ribosomal RNA (539 nucleotides) under uncultured bacterium. RNAcentral's name for it is "partial 16S ribosomal RNA". It matches the Rfam family "Bacterial small subunit ribosomal RNA", at positions 355 to 909 of the family's 1533-position model. The record is from RNAcentral.
UGGGGAAUAUUGCACAAUGGGCGAAAGCCUGAUGCAGCAACGCCGCGUGAGUGAUGAAGGUCUUCGGAUUGUAAAGCUCUGUCUUUUGGGACGAUAAUGACGGUACCAAAGGAGGAAGCCACGGCUAACUACGUGCCAGCAGCCGCGGUAAUACGUAGGUGGCGAGCGUUGUCCGGAUUUACUGGGCGUAAAGGGUGCGUAGGCGGAUGUUUAAGUGAGAUGUGAAAUACCCGGGCUUAACUUGGGUGCUGCAUUUCAAACUGGAUAUCUAGAGUGCAGGAGAGGAGAAUGGAAUUCCUAGUGUAGCGGUGAAAUGCGUAGAGAUUAGGAAGAACACCAGUGGCGAAGGCGAUUCUCUGGACUGUAACUGACGCUGAGGCACGAAAGCGUGGGUAGCAAACAGGAUUAGAUACCCUGGUAGUCCACGCCGUAAACGAUGAGUACUAGGUGUAGGAGGUAUCGACCCCUUCUGUGCCGCAGUAAACACAUUAAGUACUCCGCCUGGGAAGUACCGAUCGCAAGAUUAAAACUCUAAAGUG